RNAcentral lists this ribosomal RNA (317 nucleotides) under uncultured Pseudomonas sp. RNAcentral's name for it is "bacterial SSU rRNA". It matches the Rfam family "Bacterial small subunit ribosomal RNA", at positions 1064 to 1382 of the family's 1533-position model. The record is from RNAcentral. Lineage: Bacteria; Pseudomonadati; Pseudomonadota; Gammaproteobacteria; Pseudomonadales; Pseudomonadaceae.
GUCGUGAGAUGUUGGGUUAGUCCCGUAACGAGCGCAACCCUGUCCUUAGUUACCAGCACGUUAUGGUGGGCACUCUAAGGAGACUGCCGGUGACAAACCGGAGGAAGGUGGGGAUGACGUCAAGUCAUCAUGGCCCUUACGGCCUGGGCUACACACGUGCUACAAUGGUCGGUACAAAGGGUUGCCAAGCCGCGAGGUGGAGCUAAUCCCAUAAAACCGAUCGUAGUCCGGAUCGCAGUCUGCAACUCGACUGCGUGAAGUCGGAAUCGCUAGUAAUCGUGAAUCAGAAUGUCACGGUGAAUACGUUCCCGGGCCUU